RNAcentral lists this long non-coding RNA (1014 nucleotides) under Gallus gallus (chicken). RNAcentral's name for it is "long non-coding RNA NONGGAT001152". The record is from RNAcentral. Lineage: Eukaryota; Metazoa; Chordata; Aves; Galliformes; Phasianidae.
UGGAUCUGCACAGAGAUGGUGUUGGAAUUGAAAAGCAGGUUUUGUAUUCGUGUCUCCUGUGUACCCUACCUCAGCGCAUGGCAGCCAUGCGGGAUGUCUUUCUGGUGUCCUACCUGCAGAGGUGGGCAGGACCCCUUGCCAUCCUGACUUCUCCCUCAGUCCCAGCUGAGGAAACAUAGAAACAUGUACAGCAUAUGCUCGUUGACUGCCUUGCAGAGUGCUUCUUCUGGAAUUAUGGAAAAGGCACAGAAGGAAAAUAGUGCAUCUAACAAAGCGCUCGUGUGAUGCAGCUGUAUCCGUUCUCAAUCUUCCAUUAAUGCCUCAUCGUAAGAGUACUGUACUUUCCGUUUGUUUCAUUUACCAAAGGUCAGCAUACUCGGAAGCUAUUGUCAUAGAGCAUUACAGACUUUCUACAUAUUUCUCUGGUAUUGUUCCAAGCAUUCGUAUGCGCGGAUGAGUCAAUUGGUAUGCAGAUUGUCUAUCAUUAAAACCAUUUCAAAAUCAGCUUUGUCAUUGGUUUAGCGCUGGAACUUGCGUGUCCUUCCCGAAUGCAAUGCGUUGCUCUGCAAGGGCACGGUGAGGCCAAACUCGUGCUGGACCAGUCCUGUUUUUCAUUCAGGCAGAACUUCCACUGACUUCAAGGUAAAUCUUGCCCAAGUCUGGUCUGCAAGCUGAAGACUGCUGCUUUUACCGUGUUCUCUUUGUGAGCUGCCAGGUCUGCGUAGGCUACACGUGGCCACAUCAGAGACUGUGCUUUUCCCUCCUCUCCUCCCCUCCUCACAGGUUUGUUUUGGCUGCUCCGGUGUCAGAACACGCGAUUUUCAAAAGCUAUCGAAAGCCUUUCCUCGCCGCCUCUGAAGAGCUGCCAGCCCCCUGAGCUGCUGCUGGUUUUCCACCAGGUGGCACAUCUUCCACAGCUAUCGGUCCGUGAUGCGCUGUCUUUCUGCGGGCGUUGCUGACGCCAUACGAUCAGUCACACGCACCCAGGGCAAAAGGCGCGGCUUUGUGUGUUUU